Molecule: long non-coding RNA, 1885 nt
Organism: Helianthus annuus (common sunflower)
Lineage: Eukaryota; Viridiplantae; Streptophyta; Magnoliopsida; Asterales; Asteraceae
Exons: 2
Source: RefSeq, a predicted model, not a curated record
CGAGAUUUCCAGAAGAGCCGGGAGCUCUCAUCUUCAAACCCUAACUUGCUCAAAUCCAUCAAUUGAAAGGCCAAAUCAGUUCCAAAUAGAAAUCUAAGCUUAUAUUAGCGAUCACCUGAGUAAAGGGAUCACGAGUUUGACUCUUGACAAGCUAGAUGGAGGCUUGGGAAUGAAACGGGUCAAACGGAGCAAGUACGAAAAGGAAAGCGUGAUUUGGAUGCGAGGUAAGUAAAAGCUUACACCCUUUUUACUAUACAUCAGUUAUGUGUAUUGAAAAUGAAUAAGGAAAAGUUAGUAAUAGAGUUAUAAUAUUCCGACGCAAAUAAUAUGAGGCGGAACUAGUGCAAUGGCGAGAAAUCAUAAGCAAUGGCAAAAGGGGUAAAUUGGUAAAUUAGUCAUGCGACGAUGAACUAAUAAGAAAUUUUGAAACAUUACGUUAUGGUGUAAACCGGGAUGGGUAAAAGGGCAAGAUGGUAACUAGAUAUCAUCUCAUAAUGGAAAAUGGUCGUUCGGACUAAACGGGUCAAAUGGCAUUGGCAAGAUCAUUUGACAAUAUUAAUUGAUGAUCGCUUGUUGAGUUUUGUGAUUACAGGAAAUAUCAUACGUUUCGCGUUGGUAUUAAUUAGAAAUUAAUAGUGAGAGAUAUUUAAACGGGUCAAUCCUAUGAAUCGAGCCAGGUACGCCUAAAUGAAUUUAAAGUUAAAUGUGCAAUUUUGGUCAAAUAUAUAGUGAUGGUCCUUCGCUGUAAAAUGAAGGACAUAAAAUUGACCAAAAAGUCCUUGUUGGGUAAAACGGGGAAACGACCCUUAGAGGUUGUUUAGGAAUUUGUAUUAUGACUACGAAGUCCGUAGAUAUGUAUAAAAAUUAUAGGUAAGGAUAUUCGUGGGGCGAAUGUCUAAAAACGGGUCUUAUGCGUAAAAUGUCUAACCGAAGGGUAGAAAUUGGGAUUUUGGAUUCCUUAUGUUAAAUCCACCACAAAAUUGUUGUGGUGGAAUAAAAUUAGUUGUUUAGUAUGUGAAUAAAAGAUGGGAAGUGAAAAGAGUGACUUUGACGUCUAAAUGCUCAAAAGUCCCCUAAACGGGUCAAAAUAUACUAAGUAGUAAAUUGUGGUUAAAUGCUUAGAUAGAUACAAAUGAAUCAGUAAAUGUAAACGCCUACAUAAACUCUUUGGUGGGAACGAAAACAUUAAGGUUCGACAAGCCCAGGAUGGGUAAAUAUGAUAGGAAUUAACUAUUGAUUCUAUAGUAUGUAGAGUGAUGAUAAUCCCAAACGGGUCGAAUAAUCACCUAAGAAAUCUAUGAUCCAUUCGUGUAUAAAUCAGAUUUUAUGCAAACCAAGGUGAUAAACAAGUCCGUAAUUUAAUUACGGACGCGUAGGAAAAAGAUUCGUACAAAACGGAUAAGUAGAUAAAAAAGUUAUGGCAUUUUGAAGUUGAGUUUUUGUAAAAACUUGAGCUGGGCAAAAAAAAUGCAGACCCAGAACCAGACCUGCUGGAAAAUGGUCUUCCCCGCGCCACGCGAAGGGAAACCAUCAAACUGGCGCGACACGCGGGCGCUGUCGCGGCACACGAACGAUCUAAGGUAGUCUCUCGCGUGGCGCGAGAGACGUAAAACCUAUUUUAUUUUGUUAGUUUGACUAUGGAACUUGUUUAAACUCGUUUAUAAGUUAUCAAAACUAAAUUUUAGUUGGUUUUGAUCAUAGGUAAUGUCAAGGGUUUCCGGAUGAAGAUCAAGCUCAACGAAGAACCGAACACGAUCAAGAUACAAGCUUCCGCACUGCGUUUCUUUCAAAUUUUUAAACGACGAACUCAAUUUCAUUAUGUUGUAUUAUUUUUAAAAUUGUAAAAGUUUUUAAUAAGCCCGUAUCUUUAUAUGAAUGUGUAUUC